AUUGAACGCUGGCGGCAGGCCUAACACAUGCAAGUCGAGCGGAUGAAGGGAGCUUGCUCCUGGAUUCAGCGGCGGACGGGUGAGUAAUGCCUAGGAAUCUGCCUGGUAGUGGGGGGUAACGUCCGGAAACGGGCGCUAAUACCGCAUACGUCCUGAGGGAGAAAGUGGGGGAUCUUCGGACCUCACGCUAUCAGAUGAGCCUAGGUCGGAUUAGCUAGUUGGUGGGGUAAAGGCCUACCAAGGCGACGAUCCGUAACUGGUCUGAGAGGAUGAUCAGUCACACUGGAACUGAGACACGGUCCAGACUCCUACGGGAGGCAGCAGCGGGGAAUAUUGGACAAUGGGCGAAAGCCUGAUCCAGCCAUGCCGCGUGUGUGAAGAAGGUCUUCGGAUUGUAAAGCACUUUAAGUUGGGAGGAAGGGCAGUAAGUUAAUACCUUGCUGUUUUGACGUUACCAACAGAAUAAGCACCGGCUAACUUCGUG
Molecule: ribosomal RNA, 484 nt
Filed under: uncultured bacterium
Lineage: Bacteria
Description: partial 16S ribosomal RNA
Rfam family: Bacterial small subunit ribosomal RNA
Source: RNAcentral